CAGCCUGCCAAAUGGAACCGCCUUCAUCCUCUGCCUGUGCAGGGUUGGUCAUCCACCUGGGCCCAGCAAGGAGCAGAGUGUUGUUUGCCCUCUGAGCCUCAAGAGUAAAUUUGCUACUCGAAGAGAAGGCUGCCUGGCCCUGCUCCAGCCUGGACCCCAGGUUCAGACAGAGGUGCUGAGCCCCAUGUCAAGUUGUUAAAUGUUUUUGUUCUGUAGCUCCGUCCCACUCCUUUUUGAUGAUAUUUACAAAAGAAAGCAAGCUGCUUGGAAGGUCUGGACGUGAGGGAAAGGGCAUGAAGACAAGGCUGAUAGUGGGGAGUGCUAGAGGCUUGGUUGUUCCCCUGGAUAGGACCCCAGAGUCUCUCUAGUUAAAGGGCCCCUAGGUUCUCCCCAGCUCCCACCCUCUCCUCCAGCCAUGGUGAUGGCAGAGGCAGAAGAAAACUUUGAGCCCAGUUCUCACAGGAAAGGAAAACUCUCAUGGGCUUUGCAGAGAAGGUUCC
RNAcentral lists this long non-coding RNA (500 nucleotides) under Androctonus crassicauda. The record is from RNAcentral. Lineage: Eukaryota; Metazoa; Arthropoda; Arachnida; Scorpiones; Buthidae.